This 253-nucleotide ribosomal RNA is filed under the name uncultured bacterium. RNAcentral describes it as "partial 16S ribosomal RNA". It matches the Rfam family "Bacterial small subunit ribosomal RNA", at positions 524 to 776 of the family's 1533-position model. The record is from RNAcentral.
UACGGGGGGGGCAAGCGUUGUUCGGAAUUACUGGGCGUAAAGGGCGCGUAGGCGGGUGGACAAGUCUCUCGUGAAAGCCCACGGCUCAACCGCGGAAUUGCGGGAGAUACUGUCUGUCUUGAGUCCGGGAGAGGAGGGUGGAAGUCCCAGUGUAGCGGUGAAAUGCGUAGAUAUUGGGAGGAACACCGGUGGCGAAGGCGGCUCUCUGGACCGGUACUGACGCUGAGGCGCGAAAGCUAGGGGAGCAAACGGG